GACGAACGCUGGCGGCGUGCUUAACACAUGCAAGUCGAACGGUGAACGAGGGAGCUUGCUCCCUCCGGAUCAGUGGCGAACGGGUGAGUAACACGUGAGCAAUCUGCCUCGAACUCUGGGAUAAGCGUUGGAAACGACGUCUAAUACCGGAUACGACGCGGGAGGGCAUCCUCUCCUCGUGGAAAGAACUUCGGUUCGGGCUGAGCUCGCGGCCUAUCAGCUUGUUGGUGAGGUAACGGCUCACCAAGGCGACGACGGGUAGCCGGCCUGAGAGGGUGGCCGGCCACCCUGGGACUGGGACACGGCCCAGACUCCUACGGUAGGCAGCAGUGGGGAAUAUUGCACAAUGGGCGCAAGCCUGAUGCAGCAACGCCGCGUGGGGGACGACGGCCUUCGGGUUGUAAACCUCUUUUAGCAGGGAAGAGGCGAAAGUGACGGUACCUGCAGAGAAAGCACCGGCUAACUACGUG
This 470-nucleotide ribosomal RNA is filed under the name uncultured bacterium. RNAcentral describes it as "partial 16S ribosomal RNA". It matches the Rfam family "Bacterial small subunit ribosomal RNA", at positions 28 to 507 of the family's 1533-position model. The record is from RNAcentral.